This 477-nucleotide ribosomal RNA is filed under the name uncultured bacterium. RNAcentral describes it as "bacterial SSU rRNA". It matches the Rfam family "Bacterial small subunit ribosomal RNA", at positions 365 to 832 of the family's 1533-position model. The record is from RNAcentral.
UUCGCAAUACCCGAAAGGGUGACGAAGCGACGCCGCGUGUGGGAAGAAGGCCUUCGGGUUGUAAACCACUGUCGGGAGUUAAGAAAUGCAAGAAUGUUAAUAGCGUUUUUGCUUGACUAAGGCUCCGGAGGAAGCCACGGCUAACUCUGUGCCAGCAGCCGCGGUAAUACAGAGGCGGCAAGCGUUGUUCGGAAUUAUUGGGCGUAAAGAGCACGUAGGCGGCUAUAUAAGUCGGUUGUGAAAGCCUUCCGCUCAACGGGAGAACAGCAUCCGAUACUGUAUGGCUUGAGUGUGGGAGGGGAGAGCGGAACUUCUGGUGGAGCGGUGAAAUGCGUAGAUAUCAGAAGGAACGCCGGCGGCGAAAGCGGCUCUCUGGCCCAUAACUGACGCUGAGUGUGCGAAAGCUAGGGGAGCAAACGGGAUUAGAUACCCCGGUAGUCCUAGCCGUAAACGAUGGGCACUAAGUAGAGGGGUUUU